This 468-nucleotide ribosomal RNA is filed under the name uncultured bacterium. RNAcentral's name for it is "partial 16S ribosomal RNA". It matches the Rfam family "Bacterial small subunit ribosomal RNA", at positions 28 to 507 of the family's 1533-position model. The record is from RNAcentral.
GACGAACGCUGGCGGCGUGCUUAACACAUGCAAGUCGAACGGAAAGGCCCUGCUUUUGUGGGGUGCUCGAGUGGCGAACGGGUGAGUAACACGUGAGUAACCUGCCCUUGACUUUGGGAUAACUUCAGGAAACUGGGGCUAAUACCGGAUAGGAGCGCCUGCUGCAUGGUGGGGGUUGGAAAGUUUCGGCGGUUGGGGAUGGACUCGCGGCUUAUCAGCUUGUUGGUGGGGUAGUGGCUUACCAAGGCUUUGACGGGUAGCCGGCCUGAGAGGGUGACCGGCCACAUUGGGCCUGAGAGACGGCCCAGACUCCUACGGGGGGCAGCAGGGGGGAAUAUUGUACAAUGGGCGGAAGCCUGAUGCAGCAACGCCGCGUGCGGGAUGACGGCCUUCGGGUUGUAAACCGCUUUCGCCUGUGACGAAGCGUGAGUGACGGUAAUGGGUAAAGAAGCACCGGCUAACUACGUG